AAUCUUCCGCAAUGGACGAAAGUCUGACGGAGCAACGCCGCGUGAGUGAUGAAGGUCUUCGGAGCGUAAAACUCUGUUGUUAGGGAAGAAUAAGUAUCGGGCGAGUAGGCCGGUACCUUGACGGUACCUUCCCAGAGAGCCCCGCCUAACUACGUGCCAGCAGCCGCGGUAAUACGUAGGGGGCAAGCGUUGUCCGGAAUUAUUGGGCGUAAAGGGCGCGCAGGCGGUCUUCUAAGUCUGAUGUGAAAUCUCGUAGCUUAACUACGAGCGGUAAUUGGAAACUGGGAGACUUGAGUACAGAAGAGGAGAGUGGAAUUCAACGUGUAGCGGUGAAAUGCGUAGAUAUGUGGAGGAACACCAGUGGCGAAGGCGGCUCUCUGGUCUGUACCUGACGCUGAGGCGCGAAAGCGUGGGGAGCGAACA
RNAcentral lists this ribosomal RNA (423 nucleotides) under uncultured bacterium. Its description in RNAcentral is "partial 16S ribosomal RNA". It matches the Rfam family "Bacterial small subunit ribosomal RNA", at positions 360 to 774 of the family's 1533-position model. The record is from RNAcentral.